UACCGGUCUAAAGUUUUGAGAUUCCUGGGG
RNAcentral lists this non-coding RNA (30 nucleotides) under Mus musculus (house mouse). Lineage: Eukaryota; Metazoa; Chordata; Mammalia; Rodentia; Muridae. The record is from RNAcentral.